UGGGGCGUAGCAAGUUGGUAAGGCAUCAGAUUUUGGCUCUGACAUCCGUAGGUUCGAAUCCUGCCGCCCCAGCCA
RNAcentral lists this transfer RNA (75 nucleotides) under Mesotoga sp. Brook.08.YT.4.2.5.1. Its description in RNAcentral is "tRNA-Gln". It matches the Rfam family "tRNA". From Rfam's summary of the family: Transfer RNA (tRNA) molecules are approximately 80 nucleotides in length. RNAcentral also lists the same sequence under 1 other name. Lineage: Bacteria; Thermotogati; Thermotogota; Thermotogae; Kosmotogales; Kosmotogaceae. The record is from RNAcentral.